UUUAUUUUAAAAAAGUAUUAUAAAAUUCCUUCAUAUUGACUACGCUGACUUGAGUAACGGAAAUGAAAUAGAUUCAGCUAUCCAUGGUGAUAAGAUUCGUAAAUAUCGGUCAUUUA
RNAcentral lists this ribosomal RNA (116 nucleotides) under Eimeria mitis. RNAcentral describes it as "large subunit ribosomal RNA". Lineage: Eukaryota; Apicomplexa; Conoidasida; Eucoccidiorida; Eimeriidae. The record is from RNAcentral.